RNAcentral lists this ribosomal RNA (789 nucleotides) under uncultured archaeon. Its description in RNAcentral is "bacterial SSU rRNA". It matches the Rfam family "Archaeal small subunit ribosomal RNA", at positions 85 to 879 of the family's 1478-position model. The record is from RNAcentral.
ACGGCUCAGUAACACGUGGAUAACCUACCCUAAGGUGGGAGAUAACCCCGGGAAACUGGGGAUAAUACCCCAUAGUCUAUGGAAGCUGGAAUGCUCUAUAGUUGAAAGAUUUAUCGCCUUAGGAUGGGUCUGCGGCCGAUUAGGUAGUUGUUGGGGUAACGGCCCAACAAGCCUUUGAUCGGUACGGGUUGUGGGAGCAAGAGCCCGGAGAUGGAUUCUGAGACACGAAUCCAGGCCCUACGGGGCGCAGCAGGCGCGAAAACUUUACAAUGCGGGAAACCGUGAUAAGGGAACUCCGAGUGCCCGUAAACGCGGGCUGUCCAUCUGCUUAAAAAACAGGUGAAGAAAGGGCCGGGCAAGACCGGUGCCAGCCGCCGCGGUAAUACCGGCGGCUCGAGUGGUGGCCACUAUUACUGGGCUUAAAGCGUCCGUAGCUUGGUUGUUAAGUCUCUUGGGAAAUCUGUCGGCUUAACCGACAGGCGUUUAAGGGAUACUGGCAAUCUAGGGACCGGGAGAGGUGAGAGGUACUCCAGGGGUAGGAGUGAAAUCCUGUAAUCCUUGGGGGACCACCUGUGGCGUAGGCGUCUCACCAGAACGGCUCCGACAGUGAGGGACGAAAGCUGGGGGGGCAAACCGGAUUAGAUACCCGGGUAGUCCCAGCCGUAAACGAUGCGCGUUAGGUGUAUCGGUGACCACGAGUCACCGAGGUGCCGAAGGGAAACCGUGAAACGUGCCGCCUGGGAAGUACGGUCGCAAGGCUGAAACUUAAAGGAAUUGGCGGGGGAGCAC